RNAcentral lists this ribosomal RNA (484 nucleotides) under uncultured bacterium. RNAcentral's name for it is "partial 16S ribosomal RNA". It matches the Rfam family "Bacterial small subunit ribosomal RNA", at positions 30 to 507 of the family's 1533-position model. The record is from RNAcentral.
AUUGAACGCUGGCGGCAGGCCUAACACAUGCAAGUCGAGCGGAUGAAGGGAGCUUGCUCCUGGAUUCAGCGGCGGACGGGUGAGUAAUGCCUAGGAAUCUGCCUGGUAGUGGGGGAUAACGUCUGGAAACGGGCGCUAAUACCGCAUACGUCCUGUGGGAGGAAGUGGGGGAUCUUCGGACCUCACGCUAUCAGAUGAGCCUAGGUCGGAUUAGCUAGUUGGUGGGGUAAAGGCCUACCAAGGCGAGGAUCCGUAACUGGUCUGAGAGGAGGGUCAGUCGCACUGGAACGUAGACACGGUCCAGACUCCUACGGGAGGCAGCAGUGGGGAAUAUUGGACAAUAGGCGAAAGCCUUAUCCAACCAUGCCGCGUGUGUGAAGAAGGUCUUCGGAUUGUAAAGCACGUUAAGUUGGGAGAAAGGGCAGUAAGUUAAUACCUUGCUGUUUUGACGUUACCAACAGAAUAAGCACCGGCUAACUUCGUG